This 447-nucleotide RNase P RNA is filed under the name Phycisphaerae bacterium. RNAcentral describes it as "RNase P RNA component class A". It matches the Rfam family "Bacterial RNase P class A". Rfam says of the family: Ribonuclease P (RNase P) is a ubiquitous endoribonuclease, found in archaea, bacteria and eukarya as well as chloroplasts and mitochondria. Its best characterised activity is the generation of mature 5'-ends of tRNAs by cleaving the 5'-leader elements of precursor-tRNAs. The record is from RNAcentral. Lineage: Bacteria; Pseudomonadati; Planctomycetota; Phycisphaerae.
CGGCGUGGCAGCGCGAUCGCCCGGCGGCCUCGGCCGUCCGGGAGGAAAGUCCGAGCACGGCAGGACACGGUGGUGGGUAACGCCCACCCGCCCGCGGGUCGCGGGCGCGGGACAGUGCCACAGAGAACACACCGCCGAUGGCCCGGGCGACCGGGAUCAGGCAAGGGUGAAAAGGUGCGGUAAGAGCGCACCGCCGGGCCGGCGACGGCCCGGGCAUGGCAAACCCCACCGCGUGCAAGGUCCAGCAGUCUCCGCGGCGGCCGAAAGGUCGCCGACGCCCGGUCCGGGCGGCAGGAGGCGGGUAGACCGCUCGAGCCCCGGCGCAAGCCGCGGCCCAGAGAAAUGAUCGCGCCACGCGGCAGGUCUGAGCCCGAGCCCCCGUCAAUGGAUCCCGGGCGAGGAAACCGCCGCGCGGACGGAACUCGGCUUACAUGCCACGCCCGACCU